This 239-nucleotide ribosomal RNA is filed under the name Cylindrospermopsis raciborskii C03. RNAcentral's name for it is "partial 16S ribosomal RNA". It matches the Rfam family "Bacterial small subunit ribosomal RNA", at positions 1 to 267 of the family's 1533-position model. The record is from RNAcentral. Lineage: Bacteria; Bacillati; Cyanobacteriota; Cyanophyceae; Nostocales; Aphanizomenonaceae.
AAAACGGAGAGUUUGAUCCUGGCUCAGGAUGAACGCUGGCGGUAUGCUUAACACAUGCAAGUCGAACGGGGUGCUUAGGCAUCUAGUGGCGGACGGGUGAGUAACGCGUGAGAAUCUGGCUCCAGGUCGGGGAUAACAGUUGGAAACGACUGCUAAUACCGGAUGUGCCGAGAGGUGAAAGAUUUAUUGCCUGGAGAUGAGCUCGCGUCUGAUUAGCUAGUUGGUGGUGUAAGGGACCA